CAUCAUGCUGUUUGUUUAUUGCGAACCUUAAAAUACCUAAAUCUCCGUCUUUAUUUCAUACUACAUAUCCCAGGUAUCCACUUCACAAAACCUUUCCUCUUCACAAAUCAGUCAAAUUUACAUGCCAUAGCUGCCAAACAAAAUAUAUCAUCUACGGAAAAACUACAUUUUCACUACAAAUUACAAGCUACAACAGGAUUACGCCAUCCAUAUUCGUAGAAAUUAAGGAAAAAAAAUUUCGACAAACUAAAGUUUCCGGACCAAAAGAUAGACCAUAAAAUGUUUGAUCUACAAGUCAAAAGAAAACAAAAUUAUGCACAGAGAUUUAAAUCUAGUGGUGCAAAUUUGAGAUCAAAUUUUACCAUUUUUGAUCGAUUGGUGACUGAAGUCUGGUAGCGGAGAGGAAGAGAGCGGCUGCUGAACAGGAAGACGAACGACUGACUGACUAAAAGCCCUAAUUCUCCUGUUUUAGUUUCUGGGGAUAAUUUCAGAACCUCCCCUGAGGUUUAUAAUAAUUUCACUAGCCUCCCUAAAUUUUAUAAAAGUACACAUACCUCCGCCAAGGUUAAGCUUUACCUAACAAAUUGGUCCAAUUAGAAAAAGUAACAUUAAAAAAGUACUUUAAGGAGAGAGGUAAAACUUUUAUUUCAUAAAUACCCCUUAUGCAAAUAUAUAAAUUGAAUUAGUAAAAGAAUGAAAAUAAUUAAAAGUUAGAAAUAAUUAAUACACACAUUUCACUACUCAAAAUGUUCGAAUUUAAAAAAAUAGACAAUACAAAUAAUCAAUAAAAUUACAUUAAUAAUCAUAAGAUUCAGCAAAACAAACUAGCCAUAUCCUUUGACAUGAUAUUUGUUAUACAAUCAGCAUGAGAAAAUCUGACUCGAGAUCAACUCUCGGUUUGCUCCCUCAGCCUCCGAAUUGUGCUCCUGACUGUCACAGCACUGCAGUACUAUUACACAGCAAAGGAAGGAAAAACAGAGAAAACAUAAUUAGUUAAUUGCCAAGAGGAAAAAGAAAAAUGUAAACAUGUCAGUUUCAGUGAAUUUACUUCAAUGUGUAUGCUCCUCCUGCUUUAACUUUGCCACAAUCUUUGCAGCCCCAGAUUCCAACCGCCUUUCUCUUCACAGCGUACUGCGUGAUCAUCAACGUUUCAUUAGAACUAAACCGCAUCCUAUAGAACAAACUUCAAAUUUUGAUAGCCAAACUGUCUUCCAAAUUAAUCAACACGUAUCAACAAGAAAAGCCAAACCUUUCCACAAAAUUCACACAAGUAUUUGCUAUGCUGGCUAACCUCCAUCUUCUUAAUCUGCUUCCGCAGACUGGCACCAUAGCGUGUACCUGAAUAUUAAAAAAGCUGUCAGCAAUUACAUAAAAUUUAAACUCGAACCUGCACCUAUAAAUUCAGCACACAAAUACAGGCUAUCGUAAGAGAGCUGAAGUUGUAUCAAAAUGCAACGGUCAACCACAACCAGAAUGAACAUCAGUUCAAAAACACAGAGUCAAAGCAACUUAAGAAAAUAACUGUAAAUGAUUAAUGGAACGUCAAGCCACCAUAUUCAUUGAAUAGAAAAAGAAUCUACCGACCAUUUUGAACAGCAUAAAUUGAUAUAUUGAUUAUAUUAAAAAUUACACUGGCUAUUUCUCGUCAACAUGUUCCUAAUUACCAAAUUUUGAAGUUAGAUGCAGAGUCUUCUCAUCAAACAAGUGAGACUACUCUUGCAGCAUGCCAUUUAUACCCUCAUUCAUUACACGCUAUAUGACAUCCUGUAAGUCUAUUAUCAUCCGCAUGAAAAUGCAAACUUAAAAAACCACAAUCCACUGUGAGAAAUCACAAGAUUAGAUAAUUGCGGAGGACAGGAGCUAAACUCACCAUACUUUCCAACAAUUCCAGCCUUCUUUGUCCUCUUCGUCUGCACCAGAGAUAAUGCAUUUCCACAAUUAUAAAUCCUCUCAGAGUUAUGAACAAUUACUCCUCUAUCCACAAUGAGUUGAAGAACCCAACAAGUAAAUACAGCAGAAAACGCAUACAUGGAAAAGAAAUUCUUAAUUUCUCAGCAUCCUUUGAAAACCAGUUAGACACAGAAAUCUUGGAAUUGCAAGCAGAAUACUAGUUCAUAAGAAUUUUCCACAAGGGCAUCAGAUAGCCGAAAAGAAGCUUUCCUUGCUCAGUAAACCAAAAGCAAACCAAAUAAUUUCAUGCCAUCCCCAAGAAACCAAAUUAAACUUAGAUAUUAAAAUGUCCUUCGACAAUUCAAGGGAAGGCCAAAGCUCGAAUAUCGCAACCUUUGCCAACCUAUAUAGUCAAAAUUAAGCAUCAUGCUGUUUGUUUAUUGCGAACCUUAAAAUACCUAAAUCUCCGUCUUUAUUUCAUACUACAUAUCCCAGGUAUCCACUUCACAAAACCUUUCCUCUUCAAAAAUCAGUUGAAUUUACAUGCCAUAGCUGCCAAACAAAAUAUAUCAUCUACGGAAAAACUACAUUUUCACCACAAAUUACAAGCUACAACAGGAUUACGUCA
Molecule: long non-coding RNA, 2518 nt
Filed under: Coffea arabica (coffee)
Lineage: Eukaryota; Viridiplantae; Streptophyta; Magnoliopsida; Gentianales; Rubiaceae
Description: long non-coding RNA (CARA_LNC005513)
Source: RNAcentral